AUUGAACGCUGGCGGCAGGCCUAACACAUGCAAGUCGAACGGUAACAGGAAACAGCUUGCUGUUUCGCUGACGAGUGGCGGACGGGUGAGUAAUGUCUGGGAAACUGCCUGAUGGAGGGGGAUAACUACUGGAAACGGUAGCUAAUACCGCAUAACGUCGCAAGACCAAAGAGGGGGACCUUCGGGCCUCUUGCCAUCGGAUGUGCCCAGAUGGGAUUAGCUAGUAGGUGGGGUAUCGGCUCACCUAGGCGACGAUCCCUAGCUGGUCUGAGAGGAUGACCAGCCACACUAGAACUGAGACACGGUCCAGACUCCUACGGGAGGCAGCAGUGGGGAAUAUUGCACAAUGGGCGCAAGCCUGAUGCAGCCAUGCCGCGUGUAUGAAGAAGGCCUUCGGGUUGUAAAGUACUUUCAGCGGGGAGGAAGGGAGUAAAGUUAAUACCUUUACUCAUUGACGUUACCCGCAGAAGAAGCACCGGCUAACUCCGU
Molecule: ribosomal RNA, 489 nt
Filed under: uncultured bacterium
Lineage: Bacteria
Description: partial 16S ribosomal RNA
Rfam family: Bacterial small subunit ribosomal RNA
Source: RNAcentral